RNAcentral lists this ribosomal RNA (2932 nucleotides) under Enterobacter cloacae. RNAcentral's name for it is "bacterial LSU rRNA". It matches the Rfam family "Bacterial large subunit ribosomal RNA". The record is from RNAcentral. RNAcentral also lists the same sequence under 1 other name. Lineage: Bacteria; Pseudomonadati; Pseudomonadota; Gammaproteobacteria; Enterobacterales; Enterobacteriaceae.
GGGUUGUGAGGUUAAGCGACUAAGCGUACACGGUGGAUGCCCUGGCAGUCAGAGGCGAUGAAGGACGUGCUAAUCUGCGAAAAGCGCCGGCGAGGUGAUAUGAACCCUUGACCCGGCGAUGUCCGAAUGGGGAAACCCAGUGUGAUUCGUCACACUAUCGUUAACUGAAUACAUAGGUUAACGAGGCGAACCGGGGGAACUGAAACAUCUAAGUACCCCGAGGAAAAGAAAUCAACCGAGAUUCCCCCAGUAGCGGCGAGCGAACGGGGAGCAGCCCGGAGUCUGAAUCAGCUUGUGUGUUAGUGGAACGGUCUGGAAAGUCCGACGGUACAGGGUGAUAGUCCCGUACACGAAAGCACACUUGCUGUGAACUCGAAGAGUAGGGCGGGACACGUGGUAUCCUGUCUGAAUAUGGGGGGACCAUCCUCCAAGGCUAAAUACUCCUGACUGACCGAUAGUGAACCAGUACCGUGAGGGAAAGGCGAAAAGAACCCCGGCGAGGGGAGUGAAAAAGAACCUGAAACCGUGUACGUACAAGCAGUGGGAGCACCUUCGUGGUGUGACUGCGUACCUUUUGUAUAAUGGGUCAGCGACUUAUAUUCUGUAGCAAGGUUAACCGUAUAGGGGAGCCGAAGGGAAACCGAGUCUUAACUGGGCGUUAAGUUGCAGGGUAUAGACCCGAAACCCGGUGAUCUAGCCAUGGGCAGGUUGAAGGUUGGGUAACACUAACUGGAGGACCGAACCGACUAAUGUUGAAAAAUUAGCGGAUGACCUGUGGCUGGGGGUGAAAGGCCAAUCAAACCGGGAGAUAGCUGGUUCUCCCCGAAAGCUAUUUAGGUAGCGCCUCGUGAACUCAUCUUCGGGGGUAGAGCACUGUUUCGGCUAGGGGGCCAUCCCGGCUUACCAACCCGAUGCAAACUACGAAUACCGAAGAAUGUUAUCACGGGAGACACACGGCGGGUGCUAACGUCCGUCGUGAAGAGGGAAACAACCCAGACCGCCAGCUAAGGUCCCAAAGUCAUGGUUAAGUGGGAAACGAUGUGGGAAGGCACAGACAGCCAGGAUGUUGGCUUAGAAGCAGCCAUCAUUUAAAGAAAGCGUAAUAGCUCACUGGUCGAGUCGGCCUGCGCGGAAGAUGUAACGGGGCUAAACCAUGCACCGAAGCUGCGGCAGCGACACUAUGUGUUGUUGGGUAGGGGAGCGUUCUGUAAGCCGUUGAAGGUGUGCUGUGAGGCAUGCUGGAGGUAUCAGAAGUGCGAAUGCUGACAUAAGUAACGAUAAAGCGGGUGAAAAGCCCGCUCGCCGGAAGACCAAGGGUUCCUGUCCAACGUUAAUCGGGGCAGGGUGAGUCGACCCCUAAGGCGAGGCCGAAAGGCGUAGUCGAUGGGAAACAGGUUAAUAUUCCUGUACUUGGUGUUACUGCGAAGGGGGGACGGAGAAGGCUAUGUCAGCCGGGCGACGGUUGUCCCGGUUUAAGCAUGUAGGCGGAGGUUCCAGGUAAAUCCGGUACCUUAUUAACGCUGAGGUGUGAUGACGAGGCACUACGGUGCUGAAGUGAUAAAUGCCCUGCUUCCAGGAAAAGCCUCUAAGCAUCAGGUAACACGAAAUCGUACCCCAAACCGACACAGGUGGUCAGGUAGAGAAUACCAAGGCGCUUGAGAGAACUCGGGUGAAGGAACUAGGCAAAAUGGUGCCGUAACUUCGGGAGAAGGCACGCUGAUGUGUAGGUGAAGCCCCUGCGGGCGGAGCUGAAAUCAGUCGAAGAUACCAGCUGGCUGCAACUGUUUAUUAAAAACACAGCACUGUGCAAACACGAAAGUGGACGUAUACGGUGUGACGCCUGCCCGGUGCCGGAAGGUUAAUUGAUGGGGUUAGCUGUAAGGCGAAGCUCUUGAUCGAAGCCCCGGUAAACGGCGGCCGUAACUAUAACGGUCCUAAGGUAGCGAAAUUCCUUGUCGGGUAAGUUCCGACCUGCACGAAUGGCGUAAUGAUGGCCAGGCUGUCUCCACCCGAGACUCAGUGAAAUUGAACUCGCUGUGAAGAUGCAGUGUACCCGCGGCAAGACGGAAAGACCCCGUGAACCUUUACUAUAGCUUGACACUGAACACUGGUCCUUGAUGUGUAGGAUAGGUGGGAGGCUUUGAAGCGUGGACGCCAGUCUGCGUGGAGCCGCCCUUGAAAUACCACCCUUUAAUGGCUGGUGUUCUAACGUAGACCCGUAAUCCGGGUUGCGGACAGUGUCUGGUGGGUAGUUUGACUGGGGCGGUCUCCUCCCAAAGAGUAACGGAGGAGCACGAAGGUUGGCUAAUCCUGGUCGGACAUCAGGAGGUUAGUGCAAUGGCAUAAGCCAGCUUGACUGCGAGCGUGACGGCGCGAGCAGGUGCGAAAGCAGGUCAUAGUGAUCCGGUGGUUCUGAAUGGAAGGGCCAUCGCUCAACGGAUAAAAGGUACUCCGGGGAUAACAGGCUGAUACCGCCCAAGAGUUCAUAUCGACGGCGGUGUUUGGCACCUCGAUGUCGGCUCAUCACAUCCUGGGGCUGAAGUAGGUCCCAAGGGUAUGGCUGUUCGCCAUUUAAAGUGGUACGCGAGCUGGGUUUAGAACGUCGUGAGACAGUUCGGUCCCUAUCUGCCGUGGGCGCUGGAGAAUUGAGGGGGGCUGCUCCUAGUACGAGAGGACCGGAGUGGACGCAUCACUGGUGUUCGGGUUGUCAUGCCAAUGGCACUGCCCGGUAGCUAAAUGCGGAAGAGAUAAGUGCUGAAAGCAUCUAAGCACGAAACUUGCCCCGAGAUGAGUUCUCCCUGAGACUUUAAGUCUCCUGAAGGAACGUUGAAGACGACGACGUUGAUAGGUCGGGUGUGUAAGCGCAGCGAUGCGUUGAGCUAACCGAUACUAAUGAACCGUGAGGCUUAACCUUACAACGCCGAAGGUGUUU